Molecule: ribosomal RNA, 399 nt
Filed under: uncultured bacterium
Lineage: Bacteria
Description: bacterial SSU rRNA
Rfam family: Bacterial small subunit ribosomal RNA
Source: RNAcentral
UAUUGCACAAUGGGCGAAAGCCUGAUGCAGCGACGCCGCGUGAGGGAUGACGGCCUUCGGGUUGUAAACCUCUUUCAGCAGGGAAGAAGCGAAAGUGACGGUACCGUGGGAAUCAGCCCCGGCUAACUACGUGCCAGCAGCCGCGGUAAUACGUAGGGGGCGAGCGUUGUCCGGAUUCAUUGGGCGUAAAGCGCUCGCAGGCGGUCGGCCGCGUCCGGCGUGAAGGCCCUCGGCUCAACCGAGGGUGGUCGUCGGAAACGGGUCGGCUGGAGGUAGGUAGGGGGACGCGGAAUUCCCGGUGUAGUGGUGGAAUGCGUAGAGAUCGGGAGGAACACCGGCGGCGAAGGCGGCGUUCUGGACCUGGCCUGACGCUCAGGAGCGAAAGCGUGGGGAGCGAUC